RNAcentral lists this long non-coding RNA (243 nucleotides) under Setaria italica (foxtail millet). RNAcentral describes it as "long non-coding RNA (SITA_LNC005525)". Lineage: Eukaryota; Viridiplantae; Streptophyta; Magnoliopsida; Poales; Poaceae. The record is from RNAcentral.
GUGUAGCUCUUGCUGUCACUGCUAGCUAAUCUACUGUUGUGCGAAAGUGAGAGUUGUGCUAGCUUUAUUCCUGCUGCUUUUGAUAUCUGUUUUGGUCCCACAGCUAGCUAGCAUAUAAUACUUCUACUAUAGAAAGCAUGUACUGACCUUACUGGAACAUAGGACACUAAAUAUUCUCAACCCUGUUUGAUUAGAUUGUUUUGCAUGUCUUCCAUCAUGAGACACGCAAUCCUUGUACUCUAC